GUGAGGAAUUUUCCGCAAUGGGCGAAAGCCUGACGGAGCAAUGCCGCGUGAAGGAUGAAGGCCUAUGGGUUGUAAACUUCUUUUCUCAGAAAAGAAUUAUGACGGUAUCUGAGGAAUAAGCAUCGGCUAACUCUGUGCCAGCAGCCGCGGUAAGACAGAGGAUGCAAGCGUUAUCCGGAAUGAUUGGGCGUAAAGCGUCUGUAGGUUGUUUAAAAAGUAUUCUGUCAAAGAUUAGGGCUUAACCCUAGAUAGGCAGAAUAAACUUUUAAGCUAGAGUUUGGUAGAGGCAGAGGGACUUCCCGGUGGAGCGGUGAAAUGCGUAGAUAUCGGGAGGAACACCAAAGGCGAAGGCACUCUGCUGGGCCAAUACUAACACUGAGAGACGAAAGCGAGGGGAGCAAAUGGGAUUAGAAACCCCAGUAGUCC
RNAcentral lists this ribosomal RNA (426 nucleotides) under uncultured bacterium. RNAcentral's name for it is "bacterial SSU rRNA". It matches the Rfam family "Bacterial small subunit ribosomal RNA", at positions 354 to 796 of the family's 1533-position model. The record is from RNAcentral.